AAGGCCUCGCUGAUCGAUCGGUCUCCUCGCACGCCGGUGGAGUCCUCUCCUCCCCAACUGAUGCGGCAGGAAGAGGCGAAGAGUCGCGGCGGCACGAGCGAUUGAAACCAGCAUUGAAGCAAGCACUGAUGCGCUUCUCUCGCCGGCAAUUAAUGGACGCGGUGGUGAUGAAGCCGAGAAGUUUGGGUCUGAGAGGAGCUCCACUGCUCGAGGCAUCCAUGAGGUUGUGAGCAGAUUGUCCCCCGCUCACUAUGGCGAGACACUCCUGGUGGGGCAAGAUGACGGUGAGGCUGCAGUGCAGCCAUGACUUCCAUCUCUCCAUUUCGCACCAUGUAACUCGUCGGUGGGGAAUCUGGCGAGACGAACUUGGCUUCAAUGAAGAAUCCCGUCCGCUUCGUGGCCUUCUUAGGAGGAGGAGCAGCAGGCACCAUUGCCAUCGGCUUGGAUGCAGAGGAGGAUGAGGAGGACGCAGUUGUUGCUGUGACUCGCCAGCUGCGUCCCUAGCCCUGGCUGCUCACCAUUUUUUUUAUCUAUGUGCUCUGACGUUCUCUAUACAUAUCCUCUCUUAUGGUUACAAAAUUUACCUCCUGCAUGGUUUGUAUCUGCUAGAAAAUUUGAAAAAGAUGUUCUUUGGCAGACAGAUUACACCAGACUUAGACAACACCGAGUCACCAUGGAUCUGAUAGUUCCUUUUGCCUUUUCACCUAUCAGAAAGCCAGCUAUGAGAUUGUUCCACCAAAGGCAACAAAUUUAUUCUUAUUCCUAUUUUGCAAAUAAAUUGGCUGUACGUAUUGCUGGUUCCAUAAGUUUCUUGGACAAUUCUACAAUUUCUUUUUUAAUGCUUACUGUCAAUGAUCCAGCUAUCUUAUAAGCUUAUUGUGUGAAUGAUUGUCUUCUUUUAUGAGGAAAUAUACCAAAGGAAAGACGCUUUAAAAGUAUAUUAGGACAGUCCCAAGUAUCCUCUUGAAUGUAUAUUUUCUGAAGGUUGUAUUUGUUGUUAUAAGUUAUAACCACAGUCCUCUUUCAUUCCCCCAUUGGCAAAAAUUCGUCAAGUUGGUGAAACGUUUCUACACUCAGGGGCGGAGCCAGAAAUUUAGGAUAGAGGGGACCAAAUGAUGUUAUGAGGAGCCAUACUGGCACGAAUCAUUAAUUUUGUCUCAAAUACAAGGGAGUAGCAAGCUAUAUACGUGCAAAUGUGAGAUCAUGAGGGGGGCCGUGGCCCGUGGCCCCUGCCAGUCCCCCUGCCUCCUUGAAAGAUAUACACUUUUUCAGUAUUGAUAUAGCGUGUAAGAUAUGGUUACGUGUUCAGAAUAUUGCUUACCACUUGUAUUUUUGUGAAAUGUUAGUGCACUUAGUUUACAUGGAGGUGCUUGCUCUCAUUGACCUAUGACUUAGAUUGAGAUAUUCGAUGAACAUUGGUCCAAAAAAAUGUUUUUUUGUGUGUUCACUACAAAAGGUUCUUUUCAA
Lolium perenne is the source of this 1467-nucleotide long non-coding RNA. RefSeq lists it as uncharacterized. NCBI's taxonomy places the organism in Eukaryota, Viridiplantae, Streptophyta, Magnoliopsida, Poales, Poaceae. The record is from RefSeq and is a predicted model, not a curated record.